CUCUAAAACUCUCUCUCUCUGAAAAAUCCCCUCCUCAAAGUUGCGGCACAAUGUGUGUAUAUAUAGGCAGACUCACGGCACCAAUCCUUGGAGGACAAGGAUAAGGCACGACACAAUUAUAGGAGAAAAGGGAUUAAAUUGUUUGCAUGAUUUUAGGACUUCUAGAAUCAAAUAUACAUUGUUAAAACAUGAUAAGUACUCACCCUUUCAGUUGGAGAUAAGGUAAGAUAGGAUUAGGAUAAGAUAAUAUAAUGUUAGUUGGAUAGGAUGGAUAAGAUAAGAUUGGAUAAGGUCUCCUUGUUUUCAGCUGAUUCCUUGUCUUCCAAGCCUUAAUUUAAUUCUUCCAGAUUUGUAGCACAUUUUUAGCAUCAUUUCUCACCAAAAACGUCCAUCCAUUAUGCUCCAUAUGCAUGCUAUCCAAUCCAAGUCCAAAACUGCUCCAAAUUGCUCCAUUUUGCCCUUUUUUGUCACCUUUGCCAAUUGGACCUACAAACACACGAAAAUAGUUUAAAUCACUAUAAUAAAUAUAAACUAACUAAGUAAAUACAAAGAAAUAAGCUAACAAAGUCGCACAAAUAUGCUCCUAUCAAAUUCCCCCACACUUAGCUUUUGCUAGUCCUCGAGCAAAAUGAAGAAAACAAGACACAACCUAAACCUUCCAACAAUUGCCUCAGGGAUUUCCAAUGAAACAUGGCACGUUAAAAAUCACUACUCCCAUAGAUUUUAGUCAUCCUUACCCUCGAGCUUAUACUUAAUCGCAGUAACCACUCACUAGCUCGCAUUUAAUCAAUUAAAACAACAUUUUGAAUGUAGUAGCAUGCCUUAGAGAAUUCACUCAAUUCCUCAUCGGAUAUACUCUCAAUGCCUUAGAGAAAUUCACUCAAUUUCUCACUACACUCCCUAUUCUAAGUAUAUGUGAGAAGAUUGAUGUAAACAUAUAGACUAACACUCACAUAUGUUAUAACAAAGAAGGCACUUUUUGGAAUUAUUAAUCUAACAUGUGUACGAUCUCAUGAACGAAAUGCCAUUACUUAGAAGCAAGAACCAGAGAUUCCAUAUGCUCGUACCAAUUUCAAACUCCACAUAUUGAAUAACAUAACAAUCAAGAUAAAAGUCUAAGGGUUGUAAUUGGGCUAAGGUAUUGGCUAACAAAGAAUGGUUAAGGAUAAACAAAUGUUCUUAAAGUGAUAGUAAGCAAAGUAAUGAAAUCAACACUUAGAAUUCAAAUUUUAAUUGCAGUACCCAACUUUAAACACAAAAGGGAGAUUCGUACAACAUUUAGGAUCAUAUUCACAUUUUUGGACCCUUUUUCAACAACCAACACUUAUGAAAUCAUUCUCACUUCUUUCCAACUUUUUUUCUUGUUUUCCUUCUUUUUUUCUUCCUCCUUUUUUUUUUCUUUUCUUUUUGGUUCACAAAACAUACUACUUCACCAAUUCACAAGGACAAAUUCUUCCCCCACACUUGUUUUUCUACAUAUUGUAGAUCAAAAGGAAUUCCCACUAUUCUUUAAGAACAAGGGUAUGGAUAGUCCUAUACUAGGCUAGGUAGGGAUAAUGCAAGCUAACAAAAAAAAAUAGGCUAAAUAAGGCUCAAAUGGGUUAAACCUUCAAUACAUAUGCAAGGGAUAAGGCUUUUUGGCUCUGAUGGUAACUAAACAACUUUAUCUUGUUAUUUGUUAUGCAAUCAAUUUUAUGCUUUGAAUGAAACGGGCAUGAGUUCUAGUAUUUGAAUCUAAAAUGAUGAAAAAACAUUUUAAGUAGCAACCGACCAAAGAACUAAUGAGAUCAUGCAACGACUUUAGAAAACAAGAAUAUCACAGAUUAAUAACUCUCCAAACAAAGCAUAGGCUCAAGUCUCUCAGGGUUGUAGCGUUAGUUUGAGUUUCUUCCUUCAAGCAUGUUACAAAAACUGAUUUUUUUUUUCUUUGUGAUUAUAUAUGAAUUCGUGAAUGACAACUACAACUAAGCAUUAACCGAAAAGCAUAUCAAACUUCCACCCAUGUUUGUAACUUUCUUUAACAGUCAUGCACUUAAAAGCCAAAUCUUCAUCAUUGUGUUGGAAGGUACCCUAAGACACAAACAAACAACAAAAAUGACUCUUUUUGGUAUUUUUCUCAAAAAUUUUCGAUUUUUUAAUCACAUUAAUGGAAAAACAAGAAUGAACAUCAUUAGGAUACUUAACGGAUUCAGAAAUAUUAAAAUUGAUCACAUUGCCAUCAAACUCCAUGGUUAACGCUUCCUUGGACACAUCAAUCUUGGUUUGGGCUGUUUUUUUUAAAGGUCUUCCAAGUAAGAUUGGCAAUGGUGUAAAGUGGGUUGAAUCAUCCAUCUCAAGCAUAGAAAAAUCUGUUAGAAAAAUCAAAUGGUCUACUUGCACCAAAACAUCUUCCAAAACUCAUUUUGGAUAUGCAUUAGAUCGAUCAGCUAAUUGAAUAAUGACACCAUCAUUUUUGAGCUCUCCUAGAUUCAUAGAUGUAUAAAUAGAAUAUGGCAUGAUAUUAAUGAAAGCACCUAAAUCUAGUAUAGUAUGUUCAAACCUUGUAUUGCCAAUAACAUAAGGGAUAGUGAAACUACCUGGAUCUUUGCAUUUAGGUGGCAGCUUUCUUUGCAAAACUACAGAGACAUUUUCACUUACAUGUACCACUUCCUUCUCGGGAAUCCGUUUCUUUGUUGUACAAACCUUCUUAAAAAACUUAGCAUACUUUAGAACUUGCUUUAUUGCAUCAAGAAGUGGGAUAUUAACUUGUACCUUCUUGAAGGUUUCUAAGAUGUCUUUUUCGUUCUCUGCUUUCCUAGAUUUCAUAAACCUGCGAGGAAAAGGCACAUUUAAUGUAAUAGGGUUAGAAGGAAUUUGAUUCGAACCAACCUUACCUUAGUGGGAUUGUAUGGGAUUCUUAGGGGGCUACGGCAAGGGUUGUUCUUCCCUUGUCGUAGCUUUAUCCUCAUCUUCUUCUUCUUACAGCAGCUUUUCAUCCUCUAUUUGGCUUUGCUUGGAUGAUUUUGGGUUGGUUCCAAUCUUCAUGCCAUUUCUUAACAUGAUAGCCUUAGCGGUUUCAAAGCCUCCAUUUGGAUUGACAACAGUUGAACUAGGCAGUUUGCCUUGUUCUUUGAAUUGUCCCAUGAAUUCUGCCAUCUGCCCUAUUUGAUUCUUCAAUUCGCCCACCUCCUUGGCUUGAUUUUGUAAGCCCUGUGUCAAAGAAGUUAGUACUUGAAGAAUGUUAUCAUUAUCCAUUAACGAACCUGAAUUUGGUUGGGCAGAUGGUAGGUGAGGCUAUAAUGGUGCAAAUGGCCUUUGAUAAAGCCCAGGAGGUGGCUGUCUAUAUCCGCCUUGUUGUUGAGUUUGAGGUUCCCUCCAUUUCAUAUUUGGAUGAUCUAUCCAGCCCGAAUUGUAGGUGUUGGAGAAUGGGUUAGUCCUUGGUUAAUUUUGGCCUUGAUAAUCUAUGGCAUUGGCACUUUCAUAUCCCCAAUUCUAUAUCAAUUGAGGACAUUGAUCAGUUGGGUGUCCUUGCAUAGAGCACACGCCACAAGCACUUGUUCCUUGCACCUUGGAUCCUUCAACAACCUAUGAUAAAAGAACAGAGAGAUUAGCCAUUUGGGAUUGAAGUUCUGAAAUAGCAUUUACCUCAUUAACUUGAUUAUGCCGUUAGGGGUUUCCUUGUCCAACUCCUUCGUAUUGUUGUGCAUUCAAGGCUCGAUUUUUCUAUCAAGAUCUUUGCAGCAACUGGUUUUUUAUCAAUGAAAGCACCACUUGCCGAGGCAUCUAGCAUUUGUCUCUCAAUUGGAAGUAGUCAUUCGUAGAAUAUUGAAUUAAAAGCUCUUCCUUCAUUUGAUGUUGGGGACAAGAUGUAACUAAAGUCUUAAAAUGAUCAUAAUACGCUGGAAAUGAUUCUCUUUGGCCUUGUUGGAUUCCACUAAUUCUCUUUCUCAAAAGAAUGACUCUUGACGUUGGGAAGAAUUUCUCUAAGAACGUUUUCUUCAUACUUUCCCAAGAAGUGAUGGUUCCAAGUGCUAAUUCAAAGAGCCAAUCCUUAGGCUUUUCCAAAAGAGAGAAUGAAAAGACUUUCAUCUUUAGAAUAUUGUCAUCCAAGUUGAUUGGUGUCAUGCUCGAGCACACCACUUCAAAUUCCUUCAAAUGCUUGUUCGGAUCUUCCACGGAUAGCCCAUGGUAUUUGGGAAUGUGAUGCAGCAAACUGGACUUCAAUUCAAACUCAUCGGUCUUGCCUUGAGCUACUAUAGGGUAUUGAAUGCAAAGAUGGAUGACAUUGUCCAAUCCCGAGGCUGAAAAUUCCUUAAUUGUUCGAUUGUCUACAACUAUGUCUUGUUCCUAUUCCUCUUCCUCUUCCUCUUCUUCAAAUUCGGAUUCAGAACUAGAACUAGGUGGAUUAGGUUCUAGUUGCUUCCUCUUCCUUCUCAAAGUUCGUUCAAAAUCGUCGUCAAACUCUAAUAUAUGCCUACGAACUGGUUGAGAACUUCUAGUCAUAAACUAGCACCUAAAACAAAGAAAACAAAACAAAACAAAAUAAAAAACACAAGAAAAAUAAAAACAUAAGCAAAGGGAAGAUUAGCAAUUUUGCUAAUCCCCAGCAACGGCGCCAAAAUUUAAUGUGGUAUAAACUAACACACAAAUUAAACCUUAUAAUUUAGAUGAUUGUAGUAUGAGUAAGUAGCGAUUGUUCUAGGCAGAGGAUUAUGAGGGAUGCUAAUCAACUCAAAUUAGACUUAAAAACUGCAAACUAGACAAAACUAACACAAAACACUAAGAGGGGAGGUUUUUGGACGAAAUUUUGACUUAAAACAAGUAAAUUGCAGAAACAAAGUAGGUUUGGACGAAAAUUGGGUGAAAGGCUAGCUAGAGGAUUCUUCUCCACACAUGAAACAGAUGCAUACAAAUUGAUUUCCGGUUAUUAUUUCUAUAAACCACGAAUGACAAUGCCCCAAAUUAAUUGUGACCAGCACUAAUUAACACUCAGAUUUUCCUAAGUUCAUUGAAUUGGACUCAGUGACGUAACCAAAUUAUUCUUCUCAAAUUCCCUAACUAUGAAUAGCAUGAUAGAGAUACAUAUCAAAGAUCAUUAAGUUAUGUGAAAAUCAUAAGCAUUGACAAAGCAUUCGUAACUAUGAACUGCAUGAUACUCCUCAAGGAAUUUACUUAACUCAAUCAUUACUAGUGGCUUUUACUACUUGCAAAUAUAAGUUCAUAAUGAUUAGGUGAAAUUCCCUUAUAUUCUAGCAUCAAAUCCCUGCAUGCAAACUAAGUACGUGUCCUUAAUCAACAUACAUAAUAAGUUCUCUAUAAAACAGAUAAGUAAAUCACAUUCAUGGUCUACGAAACAAUAACUGGAUGUAAUCAAUUUAUAUAAAACAUAAGAGCAUGGCUUCGAAUUCACCUUUAGCUAAAAAGAAAUUUAGAUACACAUGUUUGUCAUAGUUGAAAAGCAAUCUAAAAUAAACAUCGAAACUAUAACUAAGGAUAGAAAGAACCCAAGACGCUCCAGCAAUCCAAUGGCAGAUUGCACAAUCCUCGGAUGCAGCACGGCUCAAAACUCUUUCUCUCAUUCCUUUCUCACAAGCACGGCACAAGUCUUUAAAUUUCUCAGAAAUCUGUGCAAACUGAUGUAUUUUCUCUCUAAACUCUCUCUGAAAAAUCCCCUCCUCAAAGUUGUAGCACAAUGUGUGUGUAUAUAGGGAAACUCACGGCACCAAUCCUUGGUGGACAAGGAUAGGGCACGACACAAUUCUAGAAGAAAAUGGAUUAAAUUGUUUGCAUGAUUUGAGGACUUCAAGAAUUAGAUAUGCAUUGUUAAAACAUAACACGGACUCCCUCUUUCAGCUGGAGAUAAGGUAAGAUAGGAUUAGGAUAGGAUAAGAUAAGAUUAGUUUGGAUAAGGUUGGAUAAGAUAAGAUUGGAUAAGGUUUCCUUGUUUUCAACUGAUUCCUUGUCUUCCAAGUCUUAAUUUAAUUCUUCCAGAUUUGUAGCAUCAUUUGUCACCAAAACGUCCAUCCAUUAUGCUCCAUACGCAUGCUAUCCAAUCCAAGUCCAAAAUUGCUCUAAAUUGCUCCAUUUUGCCCUUUUUUGUCACUUUUGCCAAUUGGACCUAGAAACACACAAAAAUAGCUUAAAUCACUAUAAGAAAUAGAAACUAACUAAGUAAAUGCAAAGAAAUAAGCUAACAAAGUUGCAUAUAUAUGCUCCUAUCAACACCACCACAUCCCCAAAACUGCUCCGGUAUCCAUGAGUCCCCUAAACCCUAAACUAGUCUAUUCCUAAGUAUCUCCCUUCUCGGUUGGUUUUUGCCAGCCACUAGCUCAAGUAACAUCCAUAUGAUAUGUAUGUGAAUACUUGUACUUGGCAAGAUUUUAAAUAACUUGGAGGAAAAAGAUUGAAUCUUUAAACCCUAAUAAUGGAUUAUCUAAGGAAAUGGGAUUUUAUUGGGUUGAUUGUUGUAGAGGCGAUGGAGGGUACUAAGAGAGACAAGUGACACCGCCGUGAGGGAAGGAGGUUGAGGGUAUUAUCGGGGUUCUAAUUGGGUAGGGAUUUUUAUUUUUAUUUUUUUUCCUUUAUUCUUAUUUUUGAUAUUUUAGGUUUUAAAACUUUCAAUUAUAUAACUAGUAAUUAUGUGGCAAGACAUGAUUGGUUUGUCUUUAGGUCUUUGAAAGUCAUUUUACACAAGGAUAAAUUUGGCAAUAAAAUUAUGAGUUCAAAGUGGGUGGAGAAAUAAGACAAAGGGAUGGGCUUAGCAGAACUCAAACUUAAACACCGUUAUUGGUGAACAUUAGAACUUCUUCACUUGACUUGGAUUGGAUUAAAUUGACAUCAUCACUAUCAAAAUGAACAAUGGAGGUUUCGGAAUGAACAUCAUCAACAUCAAGGGCAUCAUUUGCCUCUCUUGACAGUAUAGCCUCAUAGUCAUCGCCCUAAUUCGGAUUAGCAUCAGGGGCAUCAUCUGCCUCAUAACCCUACUUGUACUUGGGCGUUCCUUUCUCCUCGAAGGAUGUCCACGCCUCUCUCACAUCUGCCUCACUCUCAUCCUGAUAUGUCAGACAAAAAUGGAAUGCUCAUCUUCCUUUUGCUUUACUUCGCAGAGUAGCAAGUUGAUCCGUCUUUGAUGACGACUUGGACAAAUUAUUCACGUCUCUCAUAACCGAUUGAAGGUCAUUGGUCAAACUUGCUGCUUUUUGCUCUGUCUCACGCAAAGACUUUUCUAAGGAUGAUGUCUUUACUUUAGAAGACUUUUGGCAAACCUUAAACUCUUUCUUGAGUAUCUGGUACUUUGCCUCUGGAUCAAGAACUUGCUGAGAUAGCCAUUUUGCACAAUCUCUUAACCGUUUUCCGCAUUGUUCCGUUAUGCUAUUGCCUUUUCCAACUCUACAUAUUUCUCCUUGAAUGCAUUGGCAUCAUUUUCACAAUGACUCCUCAGGAUGUGCCAUCAUUCUUCAAGCCUGCUCCAUUAUCCUUAUCUUCUCCAUUUGGCCUAGUAUGACAACUCAGUGCACAUAUGGGAAUAACCAAAUGAGCAAGUUAUCACAGAGGAAUGAAGACUAACAAAUCUCAGAAAUUUCACAAGUGUUGAAAGAUACUUACAACAUAUCGAUGUUGAUAUGAAGUCUAGAUUAACAUCUCAUUCAUUAGUGCGUUCUCCAUAUUAGCCAAAGAAAUGCCUAGGUGAACUAUGGCUUAAGAAAAGUCCAUUCUCCAAACCUCGAGUUUCGUAAGGUAAAGAUUGCUGCUCCUAUAUAGGCCUUAUUAGAAUAAUAAGUUGUCGAAGCAACACCAGCUGAAGAACUUGCUCCUAAAGUAAGACUUGUUGCUUUAGCAAGAGCAAACUCUUGGUGCAUCAAUCCCUCUAUUGGAACAUCCACUAAUAGGGUAGAAGCAACUUGUGGCCUUGCCAAGACAGCUUCAAUCGUCCAAGUCCUUAUCAAUACUUUAGAAGAAUUUUUCGCCCUCGAUAGCAGCCUAGCUAAAUGCUGCAACUGUUACGGCACCACUACAAUGGUGGUUUAGUCUGAUUCUUGUGUCUCUUUUGCUUUUUUCAGUAGAGUCCUAGACCAACAAGAUGGUUUUCCGUUUUUCAAUAUAUUUUUGUGCCUUCACCUUAGCACAUCAUUUCUCAUCUCUCUCUCUCUCUCUUAUAUUCUUCAAGAUCAAUCAUCUCACUCCCUUUUACUCAACCAGACUUUGUUGCUCUUAUUUUGGUCACUUUAGAAGAUCCAUCCUUAAUGGUCUUCUUCUUUCUCUAUAUUAUCUCCUCAAACUUCUUGGAUUUCCUGGUCCUUCUUGGCUUAUCUAGAGUCUGCGUCCAUUUCCUAGCCUUGCCUGCAUCAAUCUAGAUCAGAUUAAGUGAGCAAUGAAGGAUAUUGGUGGACUUGUCAUUGUCUUCAUCCCGUUUUGGACUAAACAACCGUAUCCAAUACUUAUGCUUCUCUAGGAUCAUCUUAAAUGCCAGUUGAUCAAGUGUGGCCUGCAAGGAUCAACUUUGGUGAUAUUGUUGUCCAUUUCCAAAUCCACAACCAGAACAUAAGGGACACACACUCUAGAUACAUAUUCUUCAAGUCUCCUGCAAGUUGGUGAUGUAAACAUCCCAACUAAGACUAGUCUAAGCCUAGAAGAAGUACAUUCCUUUGGCACUAGUCUGAAUGGUAUGUAGGACAAGAAACUCAUGGAUCCCCAACCCUGCGCCAUACCACUCAUUUAGGUACUCAAAAUUGGUAAUGAUCUGAAAUGAUGAAGGUGUAAGAUUUCACAACAUAAUCUUACAGCAUAUGAAAACCUCGUCUAAGAAGUCUGAAAUAAGAAAUUUCAACUCAUGAUCUAGAUACCAGGGGUGAAUC
RNAcentral lists this long non-coding RNA (8834 nucleotides) under Malus domestica (apple). Its description in RNAcentral is "long non-coding RNA (MDOM_LNC015705)". The record is from RNAcentral. Lineage: Eukaryota; Viridiplantae; Streptophyta; Magnoliopsida; Rosales; Rosaceae.